This 225-nucleotide ribosomal RNA is filed under the name uncultured bacterium. Its description in RNAcentral is "partial 16S ribosomal RNA". It matches the Rfam family "Bacterial small subunit ribosomal RNA", at positions 126 to 334 of the family's 1533-position model. The record is from RNAcentral.
CUACCCUCGGUGUCUGGGACAACAUCUCGAAAGGGGUGCUAAUACCGGAUAAGACCACAUCCUGUUCGCAGGGAGUGGUAAAAGGUGGCCUCUCCAUGGAAGCUAUCGCCUGAGGAUGAGCCCGCGCCCCAUCAGCCUGUUGGUAGGGUAAUGGCCUACCAAAGCUGAGACGGGUAGCUGGUCUGAGAGGAUGAGCAGCCACACUGGAACUGAGACACGGUCCAG